GGUCCCUUCAUCUAAUGGUUAGGAUUUUGGAUUUUCAUUCCAACCAUAGGGGUUCGAAUCCCCUAGGGAUCACCA
RNAcentral lists this transfer RNA (75 nucleotides) under Poseidonibacter parvus. Its description in RNAcentral is "Arcobacter sp. LPB0137 tRNA-Glu". It matches the Rfam family "tRNA". From Rfam's summary of the family: Transfer RNA (tRNA) molecules are approximately 80 nucleotides in length. Their secondary structure includes four short double-helical elements and three loops (D, anti-codon, and T loops). RNAcentral also lists the same sequence under 10 other names. The record is from RNAcentral. Lineage: Bacteria; Pseudomonadati; Campylobacterota; Epsilonproteobacteria; Campylobacterales; Arcobacteraceae.